UUAAGUCAGUGCAAUAUUUGACAUCAUCGCCAUCACCAUCACCAUCUUCAUCAUCAUCAUCAUCACUAUCAUCAUUUAAUGUUUGUUUACCAUGCUGUCAUAGAUUGUAUAGUUUGACAGGAUCUGGCUACAGGAAAAAAAACCCCACCUUAACUAAAUGUGUGUGUGUGAGGUUGGGAGUGGGUAUUAAAACCGGCGAUACCAAUGUUAGUAGUAUGUUUGUAUCAUUGGUAUUUAUAAUUGGAAGUAAAUUGUCUUUUGAAGUUUUAGUUUUCUGUCUUUCAUCAAAACCUGUACCUGAAAGCAAUUUUUUUUAAGUUAUGAGGAAGUGAAUUUUCAUAUUUUGGCAAUUCCUAUCAUGUCUAAAAGCAUUUUAGGAAACAAAUGUCACCAUUUCAAACUGACAUUGAGUCAUUAAUUAAUUAAUGAUGAAUUAACACCUAACAAAAUAUUGACUUUAUUAAUUAAGUAAUAUUGUGAACACUCUUAUACAUAAAAUUUUAUUAUCACCUUCACAGACGUUCACAAUAUUCCAUAAUUAAUACAAUCCUUUCUACUAUUGGCACAAGGCCUGAAAUUUUAAGGGAGAGCUAGUCAAUUACAUCAAUCCCCAGCACUUGACUGGUUCUUAAUUUAUCAAUCCUGGAAGGAUGAAAGGCAAUGUCAACCUCGGUGGAAUUUGAACUCAGAACGUAAAGACAGACAAAAUGCCGCUAAGCCUUUUGUCUAGCAAAUCUGUGCCGGCAUGGAACAUAGACAUUAAAUGAUGAUGAUGAUUUAAGCAUGAUAGCAAAUGGUAACAAUAUUUUAUGUUUGUUUUAUGGUGAUUGAUAGACUGCUCUACACUUAACAUAGAAAAGCAAUUAGGUAAGUGAAAUAAAAUUCUGACAACUCUAGCUUGGAUUCUUGAAGAAUGGAUAACUUAUGCAAAAAAAAUCACGCUUAUUAAUUAAUCAUUAAUAUCGUUUAUUAAAUUUAUAUAAUAUUGUCCAACUCAAUCUUAAGCCAAAAUUUCACAAAAUAAAAAAAAAAAUUGGUGUAGUAGAUACACUUUUUAAUAUCAACACCUGGCACCUGGGGGUCCUUAGUGGACAUUUGGGCAGGUCUUUGAUCUCAAAAUAACUUUCCCCAGUUACAAAUACCCUGAAAAGGCAACAACUGCUACCUUUUCUCUUCUGACAGCUAGUAAAUAAACAUAAACCCCUCAGAAUUUAAAGUAAUUAACCCUUUCGUUACUAACCCGGCUGAAACCACCUGUGGCUCUGUUGUACAAAUGUCUUG
This is a long non-coding RNA of Octopus sinensis (East Asian common octopus), 1281 nucleotides long. RefSeq lists it as uncharacterized. Lineage: Eukaryota; Metazoa; Mollusca; Cephalopoda; Octopoda; Octopodidae. The record is from RefSeq and is a predicted model, not a curated record. The transcript is spliced from 3 exons.